Phyllostomus discolor (pale spear-nosed bat) is the source of this 111-nucleotide long non-coding RNA. RefSeq lists it as uncharacterized. The transcript is spliced from 3 exons. NCBI's taxonomy places the organism in Eukaryota, Metazoa, Chordata, Mammalia, Chiroptera, Phyllostomidae. The record is from RefSeq and is a predicted model, not a curated record.
ACUGUGUAGGUGGACAUAGCUCACCUCUUCAUACAACCACAUCAAAGUUACAACUACUAUAUAGAACAACCAACACUCAGAACCUUCAGAAAUCAAAUUGAAAGAAAGUCU